UCUCUGAUAGUAUAUCGGUUAGUACACGCGCCUGUCAUGAUUUCCUGGCUUAGUUCUCGCGUGAAAGCUGGGUUCGACUCCCAGUCAGAGAG
Guyanagaster necrorhizus is the source of this 92-nucleotide non-coding RNA. The record is from the annotation of a RefSeq genome assembly. Lineage: Eukaryota; Fungi; Basidiomycota; Agaricomycetes; Agaricales; Physalacriaceae.